RNAcentral lists this transfer RNA (72 nucleotides) under Muntiacus reevesi (Reeves' muntjac). It matches the Rfam family "tRNA". Rfam says of the family: Transfer RNA (tRNA) molecules are approximately 80 nucleotides in length. Their secondary structure includes four short double-helical elements and three loops (D, anti-codon, and T loops). Further hydrogen bonds mediate the characteristic L-shaped molecular structure. tRNAs have two regions of fundamental functional importance: the anti-codon, which is responsible for specific mRNA codon recognition, and the 3' end, to which the tRNAs corresponding amino acid is attached (by aminoacyl-tRNA synthetases). tRNAs cope with the degeneracy of the genetic code in two manners: having more than one tRNA (with a specific anti-codon) for a particular amino acid; and 'wobble' base-pairing, i.e. permitting non-standard base-pairing at the 3rd anti-codon position. Lineage: Eukaryota; Metazoa; Chordata; Mammalia; Artiodactyla; Cervidae. RNAcentral also lists the same sequence under 4 other names. The record is from Rfam by way of RNAcentral.
UCCCUUGUGGCUCAGCUGGUAAAGAAUCUGCCUGCAAUGCAGGAGGCCUGGGUUCGAUCCCUGGGUUGGGAA